UACGAAGGGGGCUAGCGUUGUUCGGAAUUACUGGGCGUAAAGGGCGCGUAGGCGGCCCGUUCAGUCAGAAGUGAAAGCCCCGGGCUCAACCUGGGAACUGCUUUUGAUACUGGCGGGCUUGAGUUCCGGAGAGGAUGGUGGAAUUCCCAGUGUAGAGGUGAAAUUCGUAGAUAUUGGGAAGAACACCGGUGGCGAAGGCGGCCAUCUGGACGGACACUGACGCUGAGGCGCGAAAGCGUGGGGAGCAAACAGGAUUAGAAACCCGGGUAGUCC
RNAcentral lists this ribosomal RNA (273 nucleotides) under uncultured bacterium. RNAcentral describes it as "partial 16S ribosomal RNA". It matches the Rfam family "Bacterial small subunit ribosomal RNA", at positions 524 to 796 of the family's 1533-position model. The record is from RNAcentral.